Long non-coding RNA from Musa acuminata AAA Group (dessert banana), 678 nucleotides. RefSeq lists it as uncharacterized. The transcript has 3 exons. Lineage: Eukaryota; Viridiplantae; Streptophyta; Magnoliopsida; Zingiberales; Musaceae. The record is from RefSeq and is a predicted model, not a curated record.
CUUAGAGAUCGGCUUUAACAUUGGGCGAUGAAGCGCUUCAUCUUACGACUUAGCAGUCGCGAGAGGGAGAGGAUCUGAAACCCUCAUCUGAGGGCAGUGGGGAACGAUCAGAUCUCGUCGAUUCCUCCUCCGAUUCUUAUAAAAUUCCGUCCGGCUUCGCCAAGAUCGUGGUUCUUUUUCUCUCUAUCUAGAAAAUUGGAAAGAAACAAAAGUGGAAGAGUAGAUUUGUACUGCACAGUAUCAUCUGCCUUUGGUUUUUGAGCCUAGCAGCUUACAACAUCUUGGAAACAAAUAGUGAGCUUUCUUGUCUGGGGCUGCACUCUGUUGCUGGUGUCCUACAAUAUUCUAUGUGGGCAGGCCCUACCUUUAGUUCUCAUUUGACUACAAAAAGGGCACAAGAUGAAAUGUAAAAAAAGAGAGAAAAGAAAAGAUAUCUGCUUGAAUGUGAUGAGAAAGACUUGAGAAUCUCAGCUAUAACUUUGACUUGGUAGUAUAUAUAGUUUAAUGCUUGUUUGAAAAAUCAAAAGAAGCUUGACAGGAAUUUAUAAUAUUUAUCAGCUGCAUUCUGAUUCUGGUGACCUUUUUAGGGGUAGGCCCGAAGACUGAAGAGAACAAGAUUUAACCACCUGUAGUCUUGUAGCAUAUCAUAAUAAUCUCCUAGUUCAGUUCUUCUGUUAA